GAUGAACGCUGGCGGCGUGUCUAAGGCAUGCAAGUCGAACGGACUGUUAUUUGUAGCAAUACUUAGAACAGUUAGUGGCAAACGGGUGCGUAACACAUUGGUAACCUGCCUCAAAGUCGGGCAUAAUCCCGCGAAAGUGGGACUAAUUCCACGAUAGUCAUCGAAGGUGAGAUUCCUUCGAUGUAAAGUCGCAAGACGCUUUGAGAGGGGCCUAUGGCCUAUCAGCUUGUUGGUGAGGUAACGGCUCACCAAGGCUAUGACGGGUAGGGGGUGGGAGAGCACGACCCCCCUCACUGGGACGUGAGACACUGCCCACGACACCUACGGGUGGCUGCAGUCGAGAAUAUUCCCCAACUGGCCGAAAGGACGUGAGGGAGCGACGCCGCGUGCA
Molecule: ribosomal RNA, 391 nt
Filed under: uncultured bacterium
Lineage: Bacteria
Description: bacterial SSU rRNA
Rfam family: Bacterial small subunit ribosomal RNA
Source: RNAcentral